RNAcentral lists this long non-coding RNA (4959 nucleotides) under Homo sapiens (human). Its description in RNAcentral is "HSALNT0157533". The record is from RNAcentral. Lineage: Eukaryota; Metazoa; Chordata; Mammalia; Primates; Hominidae.
CUACCAGCAAAAGAGUAACAGAGGAGCAACAGCCUGGGGAGAGGCUGAGAGGAGGCAGGAGGAGCUUGUGAUGAGACGGAGAGUGCAAUCCCAAUGGGAAGAAAGAGACUCAGCGUGACAAGGCCUGGAUGCCUGUGGCUCCUCGUGCAGGCUGGAGACAAGCAACGCCAGCGGAUCGAGCUUUGCGCAUCUGAAAGACCUCAACCAAAGCUGCAGAGCCUUCGCUGUGUGAUCCGUCUGGGAACAGGAGUGACGAGUGACCGCGGCUCCCUUGGAUGCUGUUUCUGCUGAGGCCAUGGAGCGGGGACAGGAAAGCAGAGCUGAGUGUCGGUCUCUGGCAAUAGCAAAGCAGGAGCUUUCCACGUACCCACCGUCAUCCAAAAUAGCACUCCAUUCCACAGGUUUCUGCAAACCAAGGGCUCGGUCCAUGGGCGUGAGGAAAGGAGGCAGCAAAAUAUUCCAUCAAAUUGUGCUCAGGAAAUGCAUUGCUCAUUUGAAAUGACUUCUCACACACAGACCAGAACAGCUAGGAAAUGAGUGUGCGACGGAGGGCAUUUGCUUGCUGAUUCAUGUCCUCGUGUGUUUCAGAAGCUACUCUGUGCACACUGGGAACAUGCCCUCUUAUCUGAGAAAAACCUUGACUUGACUGUUCUGAGAUGAUUCUGCCCUGACUGGGCCACUCGGUGCCACUGAGAGCGCUUUUAUGAGAUCCUGCACUUGAUAAAAGAAGCCAGGGGACUUAGGAACAGAUGGUAUCUUAGUCCCUUUUGCAUUGCCAUAAAGGAACACCUGAGGCCGGGUAAUUUAAAAAGAAAAAAGGUUUAUUUUUGCUUACGGUUCUGCAGGCUGUACAAGCAUGGCAUCAGCACUGGCUUUUGGUGAGGCCCAGGAAGCUUUUAACCACAGCAGAAGGUGAAGGGGGAGCCUUCCCAUGGCAAGAGAGGGAACAGGAGAGAGAGGAGGAGGUGCCAGCCUCCUUUAAACAACAGCUCUUGAUUGAACUCAAAGCAAGAACUCAUUCAUCACCAAGGGGAGGGCACCAAGCCAUUCAUGAGUGAGUGCCCCCAUGACCCAUGCAUCUCCCUCCAGGCCCACCUCCAACACUGAGGACACAGGGCCACGUUUCAACAUGAGAUUUGGAGGAACACAUCCCAACCACGUCAGCCAGCAGUAAUAAAAUGCCCACAAACAGCUGUGGGAACCACGCUGUCACUUCUGCCCCCUGCCAGCUCCCAAGCCCUGGAAAUAUAACAGCAUGUGCAUGGAAGGAAGACCCACGCGAGCAUACGGUAGCACACCAGGUAAGUGAAGGCCUGGCUCUGGGGAGGCCAGGGCCACAGUGAGGUUUCUCAGCCUGGCUCCACCUCCAAGAACAGAGUGCACUGAGGUCACAGUGAGACCAUAGCCCUGGAACUGGCGGAACCCAGAAGGGGACAAAACAAACCUGGUCUUCCCCAAAAUUGCUCAUGCUUUAAGUUGUGAGAGGGAUCCUGGUGUCAUCAGGACCUGAAGAAGAGCAUCCCAGUCCUGAAGGCCAAAUAUUCCCAGGUGAACAGAGCGCCGGCCACCUGUCAUUGCACCCUCCUAAUGCCCAUCUCCCCAAGCCACAGAGACCAGCAGACCCUGGGAAAAGCCCCCGAGGCUGCCGAGAUCAGGCAUCAGAGCAGGCACAAGGGCUGUGUCAGUCCAUUCUCAUGCUGCUGUAAACAACUACCUGAGGCUGGGUAACUUAUAAAGAAAAAGGUCUAAUUGGCUUACAGUUCUGCAGGCUGUGCGGAAGCAUGGCUGGGAGGCCUCAGGAAACUUACAAUCAUGGUGGAAGACGAAGGGGAAGCAGGCACGUCUUCCAUAGCCAGAGCAGCAAGAAGAGGGCAAAGGGGGCGGAGCCACACACUUUUAAACAACCACAUCUCGUGAGCACUCACUCACUAUCACGAGAACAGCAAACAGCAAGGAGGAAAUCCGCCCCCAUGAUACAGUCCCCUCCCACCAGACUUCUCCUCCAACACUGGGGGUUACAAUUAGACAUGAGGUUUGGGUGGGGACACAAAUCCAAACCACGUCAGUGGCUGUGCUGGCUCCUCUAGUCCACGCCCUGGAUGCUCAGAGCCAUUCCUCCUGCCACGGGCGUCCUUCAGAUGACCCUGCUGGCCGGCGGAGCCUGGAGAAACCAAGGCACUCACACCUGAGAAACUUCAGCCUCCUUCAGCUGUGACUUAUGGCAGCGGCAGGGCCUGCUGUCAGCGGAUGAGGGACAGCUCCGUAAACCAGCCACAACGAGUCCUAUUUUUCGACUGUCUGUCAUGGUGACUAAUCACAGCUCCUUGCUCUCUUCUCCACCUCAUUUUCAAGUGACUUCUUUUUUUCUGCAAUUCAUAAAUCCUCACUUUCAUGUAAGGCCUCUAUAUGAUACUUUAUCAAAUGCUUUUUGAAAGCCUCGGCAGAAAAUAUCACCCAUGUCCUGGGCUUCUUUCUCUCAGCUCUUUCUUCAGUAAUGGAAUCAAUUUUUUAAAGAGGGAGACACACAGUGUGUUGGGGGUAGACUUUGCCUCCCUCGGAGGAUCUCAGAGAACUUAAUGCCAAGUCUGUGUAGCUCACCCACAUCCUUUGCCUCUUGAGAAAGGAGAACAUACAUUCUAGAUUCUUCCUGCAGUGCAAACCUCUACUUCCAUGAAAUCUUUUAACUGUUACUCUCCCAAAUAUUCUCUAUUCCAAAGAGGUGGGAAGCAUGUGUUGUCUGUACAGCAUGAAAACAGAGAGGCAUAGAGAAAAAGCUGCUGUGACACAGGCCCCCUGCAAGGCUGACCUCCCAUCUCUUCCAUUACCCUUCCCGAGGAGCAAAGGGCUUCUCCCCAGCAGCUGUGACCAGAAGACCACAGCCUGGACGUGCCCUGUCCUCCCUCCCAGGCCCUUCCAGCCUCUGUCACAGGCAGAGGUGGGAACUGAAAACUCAGAGCUGCCCGGAGUCGAGGAUGCUGCUGCUGCUGCCAGGUAGGUUUAAAAACAAAGAAUUGCCCUGGAACCCUCUUGCUUCCUCGCCGCCUAGGAUCCCAGGACCCCGCAGCACUGCUCUCUGAUGCUUUUGCCAUUCGCCUGUGUUAUCCAUGAACAGAAGGACGUCAGUGGGCGUUGUCCUGAGCACUGUGGAGGUACCCAGGGGAAAAGACCAAAGCUUCCACCCUCAAGGAGUUCAGGACUAAUGCCAGAGACAGAGGAGGGGAUGACAAACCCAACAGCAGGUGUCAGGAGAGGUCUCCAGGGCGCCCCGGGAAGACCAUGCUGGGAAAUGCAGCCUGCCCUGGGCCAAGGACUGUGACCCACAGAGAGAUCACUGGUGCUGCUUUCCUCUUAGCCCAUCUCUGCCUUUUGUUCACCAUCUCCAAGUGCAAGCCAAGCUCUUCCCUCACUCUCCAUCCAUCCAUGAGGGGACAGGCAGGGCAGCUCCUGACAAGACCGUCACCCUUAACUGUCCAUGCAUUAGGUGGGUGAGCAGGACGAGAGAACUUGCCUGUGCGUCCAGAAACCAGCCAAGUUCACAUUUAAUUCACUUAGAUUAUCUCACACUUAAAAAAAAUACAAAGAGCUAAAUUCACUGCCUGAUGAAGAGACAAGAGAUUUUUUUUAACAUUCUUUAUUUUUUAUGUGCCUAAGUUUUGUCUCAUUAACAUUCUUUAAAAAUAGCUCUACGUUAGCCUUUCUAUGGACUGGAUAGGAGCCUGUGACAAUGGCACAGUGAUUUGGGGGCCGAUUUUCCUUAAAUACCUCUCCCAUGAGAUGGUGAAUGCUUUUGCUACGUGGAAGCUUCAGGACUGUCUAGUCCGAACAAGCUGCAUAAAUGGAGGGAUUCUUACCAUCCGACCUGGUCUAAUGUCUGCCUGAUCAAGAUUCCUCGGUGGCUCGUGGUUCUGACUGAUUGGGCCUUCUCAGUAAGAUCUCCUAUCACAACAGGGAACAUUCAGAAUGGCCUCCGACCAGCACUGCCUGCACUUCCUUUAUUAAACCCCUUUGUUGCAGCUUUAUUAUUUAGCUGUAAAAAUCAGUGUGAGCUAAAGCUCAAGCUACAAGCCGCAGAGAACUUUAAAAAAAAUCAUUUAAACUGCAUUUUCAGGCACUGGAGGAUUUAGAACAUUGGGAACUUAUAAUGACAGAAAAUAAUACCCAGCCCUUGUUUCAAUUUUCUGCUUAACCCUGGUGUCCAGGAAAAAAGUUUCUAUUUUUCUAAAGUAUUGUCACUGGAUUAGUCCAUUUUCACACUGCAAUGAAGAAAUACCCAAGACUGGGUAAUUUAUAAAGAAAAAGAGGAUUAAUAGAUUCACAGUUCAUCAUGAUUUGUCCCAGUGACAUAACGGCAACUGAUUCCACAAGCAACAUAAUUAAAUAGUAAAAAUGUUCGGUAAAGAAUGUAAGUGGUAACUCUUAAGUUUUACCGCUUUCAGCACCUACAAUCCUCCUAAUUAUUGACAUAGGUGUUUAUUAGUCCAUUUUCAUACUGCUAUGAAGAAAUACACAAGACUGGGUAGUUUAUAAAGAAAAGGAGGUUUAAUGGACUUACUGCUUCAGGUGGCUGUGGAGGCCUCACGAUCAUGGGGGAAGGUGAAGGGGAACAAAGGCAUGUCUUACAUGGUGACAGGCAAGAGAGUGUGUGCAGGGGAACUGCCCUUUAUAAAACCAUGAGAUCUCAUGAGACUUAGUCACUAUCACGAGAACAGCAUGAGAAAGCCCACUCCCAUGAUUCAAUUACCUCCCACCGGGUCCCUUCCAUGGCACAUGGGGAUUAUGGGAACUACAGUUCAAGAAGAGAUUUGGGUGGGGACACAGCCAAACCAUAUCUGUCACUCUAUGGAAAAUAUUCUUUUUUUUCUAAAUCUUUGAUUAUCUCUCCAAAUGAUACAUUAGUUAUUUAGAACAUUUAAUAUGUGUAUCUGGAAAUAAAUUAACUUUUUAAUAUGUAUAUCUGGA